GACGAACGCUGGCGGCGUGCUUAACACAUGCAAGUCGAACGGAAAGGCCCUGCUUUUGUGGGGUGCUCGAGUGGCGAACGGGUGAGUAACACGUGAGUAACCUGCCCUUGACUUUGGGAUAACUUCAGGAAACUGGGGCUAAUACCGGAUAGGAGCUCCUGCUGCAUGGUGGGGGUUGGAAAGUUUCGGCGGUUGGGGAUGGACUCGCGGCUUAUCAGCUUGUUGGUGGGGUAGUGGCUUACCAAGGCUUUGACGGGUAGCCGGCCUGAGAGGGUGACCGGCCACAUUGGGACUGAGAUACGGCCCAGACUCCUACGGGAGGCAGCAGUGGGGAAUAUUGCACAAUGGGCGGAAGCCUGAUGCAGCAACGCCGCGUGCGGGAUGACGGCCUUCGGGUUGUAAACCGCUUUCGCCUGUGACGAAGCGUGAGUGACGGUAAUGGGUAAAGAAGCACCGGCUAACUACGUGCCAGCAGCCGCGGUGAUACGUAGGGUGCGAGCGUUGUCCGGAUUUAUUGGGCGUAAAGGGCUCGUAGGUGGUUGAUCGCGUCGGAAGUGUAAUCUUGGGGCUUAACCCUGAGCGUGCUUUCGAUACGGGUUGACUUGAGGAAGGUAGGGGAGAAUGGAAUUCCUGGUGGAGCGGUGGAAUGCGCAGAUAUCAGGAGGAACACCAGUGGCGAAGGCGGUUCUCUGGGCCCUUCCUGACGCUGAGGAGCGAAAGCGUGGGGAGCGAACAGGCUUAGAUACCCUGGUAGUCCACGCUGUAAACGGUGGGUACUAGGGGUGGGGUCCAUUCCACGGGUUCCGUGCCGUAGCUAACGCUUUAAGUACCCCGCCUGGGGAGUACGGCCGCAAGGCUAAACCUCAAAGGAAUUGACGGGGCCCCGCACAAGCGGCGGAGCAUGCGGAUUAAUUCGAUGCAACGCGUAGAACCUUACCUGGGUUUGACAUGGAUCGGGAGUGCUCAGAGAUGGGUGUGCCUCUUUUGGGGUCGGUUCACAGGUGGUGCAUGGCUGUCGUCAGCUCGUGUCGUGAGAUGUUGGGUUAAGUCCCGCAACGAGCGCAACCCUUGUUCACUGUUGCCAGCACGUUAUGGUGGGGACUCAGUGGAGACCGCCGGGGUCAACUCGGAGGAAGGUGGGGAUGACGUCAAGUCAUCAUGCCCCUUAUGUCCAGGGCUUCACGCAUGCUACAAUGGCUGGUACAGAGAGUGGCGAGCCUGUGAGGGUGAGCGAAUCUCGGAAAGCCGGUCUCAGUUCGGAUUGGGGUCUGCAACUCGACCUCAUGAAGUCGGAGUCGCUAGUAAUCGCAGAUCAGCAACGCUGCGGUGAAUACGUUCCCGGG
This 1343-nucleotide ribosomal RNA is filed under the name uncultured bacterium. RNAcentral's name for it is "16S ribosomal RNA". It matches the Rfam family "Bacterial small subunit ribosomal RNA", at positions 28 to 1378 of the family's 1533-position model. The record is from RNAcentral.